Molecule: non-coding RNA, 127 nt
Organism: Brachypodium distachyon (stiff brome)
Lineage: Eukaryota; Viridiplantae; Streptophyta; Magnoliopsida; Poales; Poaceae
Source: Rfam
GUUAUGGUGGGGGCACCAAUACCUCAUGGUGAUUCCGUCUUCGCAAGAAGGGGAUAGAUCGACGCGUCAAGAAAUCGUUUCAUUUGCCACGCCUCCAGUAGGCAAUAUGAUUGUUGCUUGCGUACAG